This 1520-nucleotide ribosomal RNA is filed under the name Klebsiella pneumoniae. Its description in RNAcentral is "bacterial SSU rRNA". It matches the Rfam family "Bacterial small subunit ribosomal RNA". The record is from RNAcentral. Lineage: Bacteria; Pseudomonadati; Pseudomonadota; Gammaproteobacteria; Enterobacterales; Enterobacteriaceae.
AGAGUUUGAUCAUGGCUCAGAUUGAACGCUGGCGGCAGGCCUAACACAUGCAAGUCGAGCGGUAGCACAGAGAGCUUGCUCUCGGGUGACGAGCGGCGGACGGGUGAGUAAUGUCUGGGAAACUGCCUGAUGGAGGGGGAUAACUACUGGAAACGGUAGCUAAUACCGCAUAAUGUCGCAAGACCAAAGUGGGGGACCUUCGGGCCUCAUGCCAUCAGAUGUGCCCAGAUGGGAUUAGCUAGUAGGUGGGGUAACGGCUCACCUAGGCGACGAUCCCUAGCUGGUCUGAGAGGAUGACCAGCCACACUGGAACUGAGACACGGUCCAGACUCCUACGGGAGGCAGCAGUGGGGAAUAUUGCACAAUGGGCGCAAGCCUGAUGCAGCCAUGCCGCGUGUGUGAAGAAGGCCUUCGGGUUGUAAAGCACUUUCAGCGGGGAGGAAGGCGUUAAGGUUAAUAACCUUGUCGAUUGACGUUACCCGCAGAAGAAGCACCGGCUAACUCCGUGCCAGCAGCCGCGGUAAUACGGAGGGUGCAAGCGUUAAUCGGAAUUACUGGGCGUAAAGCGCACGCAGGCGGUCUGUCAAGUCGGAUGUGAAAUCCCCGGGCUCAACCUGGGAACUGCAUUCGAAACUGGCAGGCUAGAGUCUUGUAGAGGGGGGUAGAAUUCCAGGUGUAGCGGUGAAAUGCGUAGAGAUCUGGAGGAAUACCGGUGGCGAAGGCGGCCCCCUGGACAAAGACUGACGCUCAGGUGCGAAAGCGUGGGGAGCAAACAGGAUUAGAUACCCUGGUAGUCCACGCCGUAAACGAUGUCGAUUUGGAGGUUGUGCCCUUGAGGCGUGGCUUCCGGAGCUAACGCGUUAAAUCGACCGCCUGGGGAGUACGGCCGCAAGGUUAAAACUCAAAUGAAUUGACGGGGGCCCGCACAAGCGGUGGAGCAUGUGGUUUAAUUCGAUGCAACGCGAAGAACCUUACCUGGUCUUGACAUCCACAGAACUUUCCAGAGAUGGAUUGGUGCCUUCGGGAACUGUGAGACAGGUGCUGCAUGGCUGUCGUCAGCUCGUGUUGUGAAAUGUUGGGUUAAGUCCCGCAACGAGCGCAACCCUUAUCCUUUGUUGCCAGCGGUUAGGCCGGGAACUCAAAGGAGACUGCCAGUGAUAAACUGGAGGAAGGUGGGGAUGACGUCAAGUCAUCAUGGCCCUUACGACCAGGGCUACACACGUGCUACAAUGGCAUAUACAAAGAGAAGCGACCUCGCGAGAGCAAGCGGACCUCAUAAAGUAUGUCGUAGUCCGGAUUGGAGUCUGCAACUCGACUCCAUGAAGUCGGAAUCGCUAGUAAUCGUAGAUCAGAAUGCUACGGUGAAUACGUUCCCGGGCCUUGUACACACCGCCCGUCACACCAUGGGAGUGGGUUGCAAAAGAAGUAGGUAGCUUAACCUUCGGGAGGGCGCUUACCACUUUGUGAUUCAUGACUGGGGUGAAGUCGUAACAAGGUAACCGUAGGGGAACCUGCGGUUG